Molecule: long non-coding RNA, 421 nt
Filed under: Lupinus angustifolius (narrow-leaved blue lupine)
Lineage: Eukaryota; Viridiplantae; Streptophyta; Magnoliopsida; Fabales; Fabaceae
Description: long non-coding RNA (LANG_LNC000273)
Source: RNAcentral
ACACCCUUCUCUCCUCCACACCCUCCUUCUCCACGCCCUCCUCUCCUCAACAGUCAUCAACACCCUCCUUCACCACACAUCUGUCCUCAUUGUUCACACCCUACUCCAUCCUCUUCCAUCAAACCAACACUUUCUUCGUUUUGGGUAAGUGCAUUUCUCCCCCUUUUGUUCUUUCUAUUUGUGAUGAUGAUGAAGAUAAUCUUGUAUGAAAUAUGAUUGACUUGCCAAAAAAGUGUUUAUUUGACUGCUCCAGGGUUAAAUCUAAUGGAAUAGAAACUAAUUUGAUUUUAUAUAUGUUCUAUUAUUUAUCUUGCACUAUCCUUAAAAGAGUGCAGACAUGAUAUUGAGCUAUGUCUUGCGGUUCACAUGUCUAGUGUAAUUUGUUAAAAGGUUUACAGAAAAUAGCUUAAGAAUAGCGAAG